Molecule: ribosomal RNA, 501 nt
Filed under: uncultured bacterium
Lineage: Bacteria
Description: bacterial SSU rRNA
Rfam family: Bacterial small subunit ribosomal RNA
Source: RNAcentral
GAUGAACGCUAGCGACAGGCUUAACACAUGCAAGUCGAGGGGCAGCAUAAAAGUAGCAAUACUUUGGUGGCGACCGGCGCACGGGUGAGUAACGCGUAUGCAACCUACCUAUCAGAGGGGAAUAACCCGGCGAAAGUCGGACUAAUACCGCAUAAAACAGGGGCACCGCAUGGUGAUAUUUGUUAAAGAAAUUCGCUGAUAGAUGGGCAUGCGUUCCAUUAGGUAGUUGGUGAGGUAACGGCUCACCAAGCCGACGAUGGAUAGGGGAACUGAGAGGUUGGUCCCCCACACUGGUACUGAGACACGGACCAGACUCCUACGGGAGGCAGCAGUGAGGAAUAUUGGUCAAUGGGCGAGAGCCUGAACCAGCCAAGUCGCGUGAAGGAAGAAGGAUCUAUGGUUCGUAAACUUCUUUUGCAGGGGAAUAAAGUGCAGGACGUGUCCUGUUUUGUAUGUACCCUGAGAAUAAGGAUCGGCUAACUCCGUGCCAGCAGCCGCGGU